UGGGGAAUCUUGCACAAUGGGCGAAAGCCUGAUGCAGCAACGCCGCGUGCGGGAAGAAGGCCCUCGGGUUGUAAACCGCUUUCAGAAGGAACGAAACUGACGGUACUUUCAGAAGAAGGUGCGGCCAACUACGUGCCAGCAGCCGCGGUGACACGUAGGCACCAAGCGUUGUCCGGAUUUAUUGGGCGUAAAGAGCUCGUAGGCGGUUCAGUAAGUCGGGUGUGAAAACUUUGGGCUUAACCCAAAGCGUGCAUCCGAUACUGCUGUGACUUGAGUACGGUAGGGGAGCGGGGAAUUCCUAGUGUAGCGGUGAAAUGCGCAGAUAUUAGGAGGAACACUGGUGGCGAAGGCGCCGCUCUGGGCCGAAACUGACGCUGAGGAGCGAAAGCAUGGGUAGCAAACAGGAUUAGAUACCCCGGUAGUCCC
RNAcentral lists this ribosomal RNA (426 nucleotides) under uncultured bacterium. RNAcentral's name for it is "bacterial SSU rRNA". It matches the Rfam family "Bacterial small subunit ribosomal RNA", at positions 355 to 797 of the family's 1533-position model. The record is from RNAcentral.